This 18-nucleotide microRNA is filed under the name Sus scrofa (pig). RNAcentral describes it as "ssc-mir327". The record is from RNAcentral. Lineage: Eukaryota; Metazoa; Chordata; Mammalia; Artiodactyla; Suidae.
AUCCGUGAAGCGCCACCA